CCUACGGGGGGCAGCAGUGGGGAAUAUUGCACAAUGGGGGAAACCCUGAUGCAGCGACGCCGCGUGAAGGAAGAAGUAUUUCGGUAUGUAAACUUCUAUCAGCAGGGAAGAAAAUGACGGUACCUGACUAAGAAGCCCCGGCUAACUACGUGCCAGCAGCCGCGGUAAUACGUAGGGGGCAAGCGUUAUCCGGAUUUACUGGGUGUAAAGGGAGCGUAGGCGGUAAUGCAAGUCAGAAGUGAAAGCCCGGGGCUCAACUCCGGGACUGCUUUUGACACUGGGUUCCUAGAUUGACGGAGAGGGAA
RNAcentral lists this ribosomal RNA (305 nucleotides) under uncultured bacterium. Its description in RNAcentral is "bacterial SSU rRNA". It matches the Rfam family "Bacterial small subunit ribosomal RNA", at positions 338 to 660 of the family's 1533-position model. The record is from RNAcentral.